Molecule: ribosomal RNA, 106 nt
Filed under: Pteropus alecto (black flying fox)
Lineage: Eukaryota; Metazoa; Chordata; Mammalia; Chiroptera; Pteropodidae
Source: RNAcentral
GUCUACAGCCAUGCCACCCUGAACAAGCCAGAUCCCGUCUGUUCUCGGAAGCUAAGCAGGGUCGGGCCUAGUUAGUACUUGGAUGGGAGACCAGGUGCUGUAGGUG